UACGGGGGGGGCAAGCGUUGUUCGGAAUUACUGGGCGUAAAGGGCUCGUAGGCGGCCAACUAAGUCGGAUGUGAAAUCCCCAGGCUUAACCUGGGAACUGCAUCCGAUACUGGAUGGCUUGAAUCCGGGAGAGGGAUGCGGAAUUCCAGGUGUAGCGGUGAAAUGCGUAGAUAUCUGGAGGAACACCGGUGGCGAAGGCGGCAUCCUGGACCGAGAUUGACGCUGAUGCGCGAAAGCCAGGGGAGCAAACGGG
RNAcentral lists this ribosomal RNA (253 nucleotides) under uncultured bacterium. RNAcentral's name for it is "partial 16S ribosomal RNA". It matches the Rfam family "Bacterial small subunit ribosomal RNA", at positions 524 to 776 of the family's 1533-position model. The record is from RNAcentral.